Transfer RNA from Brettanomyces bruxellensis AWRI1499, 73 nucleotides. It matches the Rfam family "tRNA". Rfam says of the family: Transfer RNA (tRNA) molecules are approximately 80 nucleotides in length. Their secondary structure includes four short double-helical elements and three loops (D, anti-codon, and T loops). Further hydrogen bonds mediate the characteristic L-shaped molecular structure. tRNAs have two regions of fundamental functional importance: the anti-codon, which is responsible for specific mRNA codon recognition, and the 3' end, to which the tRNAs corresponding amino acid is attached (by aminoacyl-tRNA synthetases). tRNAs cope with the degeneracy of the genetic code in two manners: having more than one tRNA (with a specific anti-codon) for a particular amino acid; and 'wobble' base-pairing, i.e. permitting non-standard base-pairing at the 3rd anti-codon position. The record is from Rfam. NCBI's taxonomy places the organism in Eukaryota, Fungi, Ascomycota, Pichiomycetes, Pichiales, Pichiaceae.
GCCCUUAUGGCCAAGUUGGUAAGGCAUCACACUAGUAAUGUGGGGAUCCUCAGUUCAAAUCUGAGUGAGGGCA